Molecule: long non-coding RNA, 5993 nt
Organism: Brassica rapa (field mustard)
Lineage: Eukaryota; Viridiplantae; Streptophyta; Magnoliopsida; Brassicales; Brassicaceae
Source: RefSeq, a predicted model, not a curated record
AUAUGUGAUUAUUUAUAUGAUUGUACGUAUAAAAUAUUAUUAAUUAUAAGAAAACUUAUUUGAUGGUACGUAUAAAAUAUGAUUAAUUAUAUGAUAACACAUAUUUUGUAACCUAUGAUGACACAUAUAUAAUAUAUAUAUAAUAGUGAUUGGGGAGUGGGCGUUCGAGUUCGUUUUCGGGUCUUUUUGGAAUUUCGUGUUCAGUUUAAAUCUUUGAGGAUUUGGUUCGGAUUUGGAUAACCAAUUUAAAUAUGUUUGGUUUAAAUAUUUGGAUAGAGAAUUAAUAAUUAUUUAAGUAUUUUUGAAGUUUUGAGUAUUUUUUAAUUAUUUAAGAUAUUUUACGUUUAAUUAUAUCCAAAUAUUUUCAAGCUCCAAAAACCGAAUAUAUAUAUUGAAACACUUUUUCUUUUAAAAUGCAUUGCAGUUAAUAAUAAUAAAAUAUCUACUUAUACUUAUAUAUAUAUGCUUUUGUUAUUAUUAGUAGCGCUACACAAUUGUUCUGUAUGUUUGCCAUUCUAACCAAUGUGUUAGACCACUUCAGUGAUGAGUACAUAUCGAAGAUAUACGCUAGACUUAGGGUUCAAUCAUAAGGCUAUUUGAAAGUGAGACUUCAUGAAAUGAUUAGAUGUAUUUUUAUUACAUAAGCGUUUAAAUUUGUAUAAGAAUAUUAAGAGAUUUUGUUUCACUAUAGAUAAUAUAGAUAGUUAUGAUAUUACAAACUAUGAAAAAGAGUAUAAGAUGUUUUGAUAUCUGACAAUUUUACUUGUCUUUUGAGGAUUCACAUAUUGACUGCAACAUUUGAGCCGUUCUAUGAAAUCCACGCUUGGCUGUUUUCUUUGCAAUACUACAUAUUUCUUGUAAGUUUUUUUUAUUAACUUGCAUAAUUUUAUUUUUAGGACGAAACUUCGUAGAGUAUAAAUAUAAUGAACUCUUAGUUAAACCACUGAAUUAAGGGAGGUUCCACAAAUAUUAAGAUAUUUAUGUACUUAGUUAUUCAAUCUCUGCUGACACGAAAUUUUAUAAUAGAUACUCCUUCCGUUUCACAAAGAUAGACUUUUUAGUAUUUUCACACAUAAUAAAAAAACACAUUAAACUACCAUAAUAAAUGUAUUGUUUUCUGUAAUUUUCAAUUUUUAAUAAUUUGUAACUAAUAGUAAUUCAAUAAAGUCAAUUAAUUUUCUUGAAGUUUACAAUUUUUUUUAUAGAAAACACAAAAAAUACAUUUUUUUGAAAUAUUUGUUUUUCUAAAAAAUCUAUCAUUAAAAAACGGAGAGAGUAUAGUUUUUUUUUUUUUAACUGAGGUUAUAAUAAUAAUAAUGAUAAUAAUAAUAAUAAUAAUGUAAGGACAAAAAAGGAGGGUAUAAUUUCACUUGAUCUAAAAAAGAAUUUCAAAUAAAUAAAUAUUUAGUUGCUAAGUGAACAGGUGGGAAGAAAAAGUUAAAAGGAGAAGUUGAACCUAUUACCUCUUUUACGUAGACGUAAUUCUGUUCAAUAUGAGAAAAGUAUCAAUCGCUUGAAUUGAAAAAAUGUUUCUCUUUUUUAUUAAUUUUGAAGUAGUAUUGGCUAAGAUCAAGUGUAGUAAUCUGGAUAUGUGGAAAAUUUUAAAUUUACUUUUAAGGAAAAGUGCACCUUACAAAUUGACAGACUAUUAUAUCUUUAAAUUUGUAUAUGAGACACGAAACAUAAUUGAUUAUCGGCCUUUCAUUCCUGCUCAUUAGCUAGUAACUUUGUUUAAUUAAAUAUAAGAAGUGUCCAAGUUGAAGUCCGAUUAAUUCUGUUUCUGUGGACUGGCCUACCGAUGAUAAGCAAACAUGGUUACUUUAGAGAUCCACGCUGUCUAAGUCUAACCAUAUGUAGAACUAGUAAUUUGCAACUGAAAAUAUAUAUGAUCCAUAGUAUAGACUAACAACACAGAUUAAUUCCGUUAUGGUUUAAAAGUAAACGAAGAGUUAAUUCCGUUAUAAAUGUUUGGUUAAUGAAUUUAUUAGAAUUUUGGUUGAAGAUUAAAAUCUAUCAGAGAUAUUAACAGACAAUUUGUAAAGUGUGUGAAUUAUCCAUCAAAAAUGAUUCCUAGAUAAUUUUGUGAGUUGUUUAUAGUGAUAUUAUGAAAUACACACUUUAAAAAAAAAAUAAGCAAGUGAAAAUCCGAAAUGUUACCGUUAUAUAAGAGCAUAGAGCAAUUUCAAUAUGUGUAACAUACUAAGAAAUUAAAAUUAGAAACUUAACAAGAUAACAAAUUAAAAUUAAUAUAUUUUAAAAUGAUGUUAGAAUAACAAAGAAUGUAUAGUAAAGAAUGACUCAUGAAUAGUGAUUAGGUUUGUCCUUCAAAUCAUAAGACCAACCGCAACAGCCGAUUUUAACUCUUCCUUAGCAAAAUAAUAUUAAGAUAUUUAGUGGGUUUCCCGUUUUAUUAAGGAUUAUGCCACAAUUAACUCUUCCAGUCCUCAUUUAGACCUCAUUUAGACUUCAUUUCUGAUAAUCUUUUCACUGUGCGCGGACUUCACUGCCGCGUGAAAGCCCGCGAUUGGCCAAUCUUUUUUUUUUUUUGUAAAUUCGGAAAAAAAAAGAAAAAAUAAUAAAAUAUUUUAAAAAGUGUUGUUAAAGAUUUUCUGUUGAGGACUUAUGAUUGUGGGUGCUCUAACAAAAAUUGGAACAACAAAAAUUUAAAUUAAACUUAAAAAUUUUCACCAAAAAAAAAAAUUAAAAUUAAAAAGGGUGCUCCUUCUGAGAUACAUACAUCCCUACGACCCUACCUAAUAUCUCAUUCAUUAAUUUUCUUCAAUUUUUUCGUAAAAAAGAUUAAUAACUAAAGUUAAAAUUCAGAUUUGCCUAUAUACGGAGACCUAAUCACGUUUACGCUUGUACGGCGACCAACACGCAAGCAAUCAAGAUUUUGGAUCGCAAAAUAUGUCUUUUUGUUCUUCAUCCACCCAACAUCGUAAAUUAUAAUAAUCUCUUACUUUCGUUAAACACAAACAAAACCAGCUACUUUCCAGAGCAUCUUGGACUUGUAGGUGAAAAAUAUUGGGAUAAUUAAAUAUAUAGGAGUACUUAACAAAAGAACAAAUUGAAAUUCCGAGGAUUUAGCUAAUAUUUACAAAUUAAUUUGUUGACAUGUGUGUACAAAUGAUCUGAUACAACGGCCAGAGAGUGUGUGUGCGCCAUGUGAAGGUGUUGGGAGGGUUUUUAAUUUGUUUCUCAACUUAAUAAAUGUCUUUGACGAUUGUAACUUCAUAUUCAAGUUUGUUCACUACAUCGAUUUAAUUGAACAUCGCAAUCCACAACCGAGUUAAGUUUAAAAAUAGAUUCUAGUUUCAUUGUCACAUUAGUUGACUGAGUAAAAAAAUACAACAAUUUAUUUAGUGUUGAUUUAGCUUCACUGAACUUUUGAUCAUGUAUAAUUUGAUGACAUGAUACAAUGUGUAUUAUUGUAUAUAUAAUUAUCAAUCCUAACAGACAUGCACUCCAACAUUUUGUAUUAUUGUUUGUUUGUUUUUAAUAACUUUUUGUAUUGUUGUGUGUAUAAAUAAAUACAUAUUUUAUAUAAGAGUAAAGUAGAAGUGGUUUCAAAUAAUUAUGCUGUAAACUCUGAUUACAAAGGUACGCAGAGACUAAACUAGGGUAGUCGUUGAAUUCGACCCGGAAUGUCCUCAUCACGAAUUUUAUUAAUUCACUAUCAAUCACUAUAUAUUUAAUUUGUUUUAGUAGUAUAUUUUAUUGUAUCUAUUUAAUUAACUUUUGUGGGGUUUGAAUACAAAGCUGAGUAAGAAUAAUCAUUCGACAAGUAAAGUUCAGGUGAGGUGUAAUCAUCUUUCUUUGUUUUCCGAACCGUAGAUGUUUUUAUCUAUGCAUGCCCCAAUGAUAUUGUUUCGUUAUGUCUACUCUGCUUUAUGCUCAAGUUGUUAGCAAACGUCAGGAAUGGGGACAAAAUACUCUUUCUGCCAAAUAUUCCCAAUUUUAUGAUUUACAAUGAAGAUAUUGAUGUUCUUUAGUUUUUGAGAAAAUGAAGAUAUUGAUGCUGUUUUACACAUACUGCGCCAGUAUACGUUUGUGAAGAUUUUCUAUAAUUGUCUUAACAGAAUAACUGGAUUAUAAAAAGAAAUUGAUGUGUGGAAAAAGGUACGUUAAAAACUUUUUUUUUUUCACGGUGUACAUUCAUCCACGUGGGUUUUAUCCACAGUCGAAAGUUUAUAAAAUUUUACCGCCUUGGCUGUUGUGUUCACCGGGAAUGUCUGAUCGGGAAGUGUAGCUCAAGAUCAAUAAGGGUGGACCUAGGUCAAGGUUGCUUUCCGUCUCGGUUUGCAGAUCAUGGAGACUUGCAAAAGGUCCUUGAUAAUAGACCUUGCAAAGUGGAUGGUCAUUCUCUUGCAAUGGGAGUCUACAAUAGAGACCUUUUUUCUCAAAUCCCCUUUUGAAUUCAAGUUCAAGGGGUCCUGGUCUACCUCUGAUCUGGAGUUAAGCUAAGAAGUAUUGGUGAAGAUCUUGGAACAUUUGAGGCGUGGGAAAUCACGGCUUCAAAAGUUCGCUUGAGAGUUUGAUGUGACAUCAACGUUGGUGUAUGAAAACUUAGAAAAGCACUGCUCCCAUUCUAAUGCUGGACCAAAGAGUCGCUACCUUCCCCUUUAUAGAGCACAAAAGAUGCCCCUUGAAAAUUAUUUUUGAUGGGUCUGAAAGUGUUCAAGAGGCUCAAGAAAAACGGCUGGUACCAGAAACUCUAACAGUCAGAUUCUCUCACGAAGAGAGCUAGAUAAAGGUUGUAUGGGGAGUAGGUGUGGUCCUAUAAGGAAACAUGAUGAUCGUGUGGAUGCUAGGCUUGAUGGAAGAUGGGAAUCUCAACCUUAUUGACAUACUAGAGGUGAUGCGUAUCAUUGUUCGGUCUCAAGGUGUUAUGACCAUAUAGUGUUGACUGGAAAAUCAUCUGAAUACCAUAAUCACUCCUCUAGAUGGGUUGAAACUGAGAGAAGAGCCGCUCAUUUGGUGGAUCCAGUUAGCAAAGACAUAGUUGAGAGAAGGGACAAAAGCCUUGCCCAAAAGGAUAUUUACUCGGAGAAACUGCGACAUAAAUUAUGGAGCCUAAAAGGCUGGUUUCAUAAUUCUCAGUAUCAAGAAUUUUAUCCCGCAUCCAAGAAGAGAACUUAAAAGAAGCUUUGAUUAAGAUAAGGAAGAGCUUAGGUAAGUUGUGAUAUAGUAUGUGAGAUGUGCUGAUCUAACGGAGAGCGUUGCGGGAAGAGAAAAAGUAAGAUUUGCUGAAGAAAAUGGAGAAAUGGAAGAGACUGCAUGCAAAGGCGACUGCUGCGGAAUUUGAAGGACAAAGCAGCAGACAUCUUACUAUGGUCCAUUCUCGUGAGCAGUACAGAUUAUGUGUAUAAAAGCUCAGGACUUGUGGAAAAUGUUGUUAUGGCAUCAAUAAGUGAAUGGGGUAUAUAUAGUCCCUGGUAAGAAAUGUCUGGACAUACCUCUAGCAAAGAAGAAAUCACCUACGCCUCAUGUUGGACUUCAAGGAUCAAGUUCAAAGAAAAGAAAGAUUGCACAAGUUCAUGGAUUUCCUAAAAGAAAAGUGACUUCUGUCACCAUCCCUUGCAGUAAGGAGAAUGUUAAAGCCUCAAGAGGUGGACAGAGUAUCCCAUGUAACGUGGAGAAAGUUCUGCUGGUGGACAGCAUACGUGUCAAAUUAUUCCAGCAACAGUGAAGAAAACAGUGGAUUUUUGGAAUCCACCAAGUUUAGUUCCUUAAAAAUUACGAAUUAGAAUUGUUAAGAUUUGGAGAAUCUCUUGACAGUUCAAAGAUGGAGGGAGAUAUAUAGACAUAUUUCUCCUGACAUAAUAUUCCUCUCAGAGAUAAAAAGUCCCGACAACUUUGUUCUCCGGCAAGCUCAGUCGGAGAUGUAUGCCAACUACUGUUUAGAAGCUCCUACGGGUCAUGGGAAUGGAUGGCUUGCAUUGUUUUGAAAAAAAAAAUGAAUUAGAGAGUGAAGUUGUUUCUCGUAUAAAAAC